GUGAUCGUUUCAGCAGCACAUGUACUAAAAUUGGAAUGAUACAGAGAUGAGUAUGGCCCCUGCGCAAGGAUGACACUCAAAUUUGUGAAGGAUUAAGAAAAAAU
This 104-nucleotide small nuclear RNA is filed under the name Castor canadensis (American beaver). Lineage: Eukaryota; Metazoa; Chordata; Mammalia; Rodentia; Castoridae. The record is from RNAcentral.